This 400-nucleotide ribosomal RNA is filed under the name uncultured bacterium. RNAcentral's name for it is "bacterial SSU rRNA". It matches the Rfam family "Bacterial small subunit ribosomal RNA", at positions 355 to 753 of the family's 1533-position model. The record is from RNAcentral.
UAGGGAAUAUUGGACAAUGGGUGCGAGCCUGAUCCAGCCAUGCCGCGUGCAGGAAGAAGGCCUUCUGGGUUGUAAACUGCUUUUGCCAGGGGAUAAAAUGGCCUUGCGAGGCAAAUUGAAGGUACCUGGUGAAUAAGCCACGGCUAACUACGUGCCAGCAGCCGCGGUAAUACGUAGGUGGCAAGCGUUGUCCGGAUUUAUUGGGUUUAAAGGGUGCGUAGGCGGCCCUGUAAGUCAGUGGUGAAAUACGGCAGCUUAACUGUCGAGGUGCCAUUGAUACUGCGGGGCUUGAGUACAGACGAGGUAGGCGGAAUUGACGGUGUAGCGGUGAAAUGCUUAGAUAUCGUCAAGAACACCGAUAGCGAAGGCAGCUUACUAGGCUGAAACUGACGCUGAUGCA